Molecule: ribosomal RNA, 113 nt
Filed under: Sinocyclocheilus grahami
Lineage: Eukaryota; Metazoa; Chordata; Actinopteri; Cypriniformes; Cyprinidae
Source: RNAcentral
ACCAGCAGCAAUAUCACCCUGUAGUCCAAGACUGGUUGCCCACUGAAGCAAAGCAGGCUUGAGCCUGGUCAGUACCUGGAUGGGAGACCACCUGGGAAAACUUGCUGCUGGAA